AGAGUUUGAUCAUGGCUCAGAAUCAACGCUGGCGGCGCGCUUAACACAUGCAAGUCGCACGAGAAAGUGGAGCAAUCCAUGAGUAAAGUGGCGUACGGGUGAGUAACACGUGGAUCAUCUACCUCUUGGUGGGGAAUAACCCUGGGAAACCGGGGCUAAUACCGCAUAAGCCUGCAAAGGGAAAGCAGCAAUGCGCCGAGAGAGGAGUCCGCGGCCGAUUAGCUUGUUGGUAGGGUAAUGGCCUACCAAGGCAAUGAUCGGUAGCCGGCCUGAGAGGGCACACGGCCACACUGGCACUGAGACACGGGCCAGACUCCUACGGGAGGCAGCAGUGGGGAAUCUUGCACAAUGGGGGCAACCCUGAUGCAGCGACGCCGCGUGAGCGAUGAAGCCCUUCGGGGUGUAAAGCUCUUUCGGCAGGAACGAUAAUGACGGUACCUGCAGAAGAAGCUGCGGCUAACUACGUGCCAGCAGCCGCGGUAAUACGUAGGCAGCAAGCGUUGUUCGGAGUUACUGGGCGUAAAGAGUGUGUAGGCGGUUCUCUAAGUUCCGUGUGAAAUCUCCCGGCUCAACUGGGAGGGUGCGCGGAAAACUGGAGGGCUUGAGUAUGGGAGAGGAAAGCGGAAUUCCUGGUGUAGCGGUGAAAUGCGUAGAUAUCAGGAGGAACACCUGCGGUGUAGACAGCUUUCUGGACCAUCACUGACGCUGAGACACGAAAGCGUGGGUAGCAAACAGGAUUAGAUACCCUAGUAGUCC
Molecule: ribosomal RNA, 756 nt
Filed under: uncultured bacterium
Lineage: Bacteria
Description: bacterial SSU rRNA
Rfam family: Bacterial small subunit ribosomal RNA
Source: RNAcentral